This 75-nucleotide transfer RNA is filed under the name Molorchus minor. RNAcentral's name for it is "tRNA-Asn". It matches the Rfam family "tRNA". Rfam says of the family: Transfer RNA (tRNA) molecules are approximately 80 nucleotides in length. Lineage: Eukaryota; Metazoa; Arthropoda; Insecta; Coleoptera; Cerambycidae. The record is from RNAcentral.
GCCUCCGUAGCACAAUUGGCUAGCGCGUUCGGCUGUUAACCGUAAAGGUUGGUGGUUCGAGGCCACCCGGGGGCG